UUUCAAAUUUCUAUCCGCGGUAUUAGUUUAAUUUAUAUUUAUGUAAUAAAUAAUAAUGUAAUAUUAAAUCACAACAAAAGGUGCAUCAACAAAAAUAAUAAGUUGGUUGUUUAGCCACGUACUAAUUAACUUAUUCCUGAUUUGUUGAAUGGAUAGAAUCACGCUUAUCUACUGACUAAACAGACAAGAAAGUUUAUCCAAAACAAAUGGAUGAUUACGAUUUGACUAUGAAAUAUUUUUGCAAUUAGUUCAACUUCAAAUGAAGACCAUUGGAAAAAAAACAAUUUUAUAUUUAACAUAUCAUUUUUAUAUUUAGUUAGAUCAUUUGUAUCAAAGGCUAUAUUGGAUAUUUGUUCAAUUUAAAAGUUUGUAGAAAUUAAUACCAAGUUUGAUUGUCAAUUAUUUUGAACUGAUUAAAUGGGUCUGCAGUAACCAUUCGACACACUUGAAAUAUAAAUACAAGUUAAAAAGAUUGCUGAUUUAGUGUUUCUUCUAUGAUAAAUUAACAUACAUCAUUAAUUAUAUGUAUUCAUUUCUGUAAUAUUCACACUUUUACAAAAAAUUAUAACCACUGUAAUAUGA
Rhopalosiphum padi (bird cherry-oat aphid) is the source of this 582-nucleotide long non-coding RNA. RefSeq lists it as uncharacterized. Lineage: Eukaryota; Metazoa; Arthropoda; Insecta; Hemiptera; Aphididae. The record is from RefSeq and is a predicted model, not a curated record. The transcript has 2 exons.